AUCUAAGGCCAUACCACCCUGAACAUGCCCUAUCUCUUCUGAUCUCAGAAGCUAAGCAGGGUCUAAUCUUCUUAGUACUUGGAUAGGAGACCACCUGGGAAUACCAGGUGCUGUAGGCU
Ribosomal RNA from Myotis lucifugus (little brown bat), 119 nucleotides. The record is from Ensembl. Lineage: Eukaryota; Metazoa; Chordata; Mammalia; Chiroptera; Vespertilionidae.